CUUAUGGGAGUGCCUGGCUGUUGGGAUGACUGGAAGUGACUGAUUCCCAAAAAUGUUGGCAUUUGUUGAUAAAUAUGAAUAUGUGCCACUGGGGCUUCCCUACCCGAAGCUGAGAACCAACACAAGUCACAGUGUAAAGUCUUCUAGAACUCUAAGCUCCUCCUGCCAACAGAUGGAAUAGCGUGGCCCCAUCAAGGCCUCACACAGCAGUAGCUGAGACAAUGGUGUCAGCAUGAGUAGCAUCAUGGUGUGGUCACAAAGAGCACUGUUCUAGGAUCCUUGAAAAUCACCCAGCCAAACUCUUUCCAAUUCCAGAUUGGGCAGUGAGGCUCAGAAAAGUGAAUUGGUUUGGUCAAGAUCAUGUGUCAGUGGUGGACCCAAGUCUAGAAGACACAGUCUAGAAGGCCCAAGCCAGCACUCUGUGGCCAACCAUGCAGCCUCCCUGUCACAAGACAAGGCUACAUAACAUACGGUACUGACUCAGGACAACUCACUCUGCCUAUGUGACCCAAAGAGCAAUUAUUCCGUGACUGACUAAUGGGAAUAAAGUCACUUGGAACAUUUCA
This is a non-coding RNA of Macaca mulatta (Rhesus monkey), 566 nucleotides long. The record is from RefSeq and is a predicted model, not a curated record. NCBI's taxonomy places the organism in Eukaryota, Metazoa, Chordata, Mammalia, Primates, Cercopithecidae.